GAUGAACGCUAGCGGCAGGCCUAAUACAUGCAAGUCGGACGGGAUUCAGGAGCUUGCUUCUGAUGAGAGUGGCGCACGGGUGCGUAACACGUAUGUAACCUACCUUUAUCAGGGGGAUAGCCUCUCGAAAGAGAGAUUAAGCCCGCAUAAAAUCACAGCACAGCAUUGUGUAAUGAUCAAAUAUUUAUAGGAUAAAGAUGGGCAUGCGGAACAUUAGCUAGAUGGCGGGGUAACGGCCCACCAUGGCGACGAUGGUUAGGGGAUCUGAGAGGAUGGCCCCCCACACUGGUACUGAGACCCGGACCAGACUCCUACGGGACGCAGCAGUAAGGAAUAUUGGUCAAUGGGCGGAAGCCUGACCCAGCCAUGCCGCGUGCAGGAAGACGGCCCUACGGGUUGUAAACUGCUUUUAUACGGGAAUAAACCCAGAUACGUGUAUCUGGCUGAAUGUACUGUAAGAAUAAGGAUCGGCUAACUCCGUG
RNAcentral lists this ribosomal RNA (482 nucleotides) under uncultured bacterium. RNAcentral describes it as "partial 16S ribosomal RNA". It matches the Rfam family "Bacterial small subunit ribosomal RNA", at positions 28 to 507 of the family's 1533-position model. The record is from RNAcentral.